RNAcentral lists this long non-coding RNA (200 nucleotides) under Phoenix dactylifera (date palm). RNAcentral describes it as "long non-coding RNA (PDAC_LNC019074)". Lineage: Eukaryota; Viridiplantae; Streptophyta; Magnoliopsida; Arecales; Arecaceae. The record is from RNAcentral.
GGUGAUCUAGCCGGGAAUUUCAAGCUCUAUCUUUUAUGUGAAAACCAAAACAUGAACUUUAGGAUAAGGACACUCGUACUUCUCUUGCGAAUAAGGUCAACAAACAAAUAGGUAACACAAGUGAACUCCUGAGGCCUUCCUAUUGUCAUUGAAUACUUAUGUGGGGAUCUAGUAAUAGGUCUCUGAUAAGUCAUAAUGCG